GAUGAACGCUGGCGGCGUGCCUAAUACAUGCAAGUCGAGCGAACGGACGAGAAGCUUGCUUCUCUGAUGUUAGCGGCGGACGGGUGAGUAACACGUGGAUAACCUACCUAUAAGACUGGGAUAACUUCGGGAAACCGGAGCUAAUACCGGAUAAUAUUUUGAACCGCAUGGUUCAAAAGUGAAAGACGGUCUUGCUGUCACUUAUAGAUGGAUCCGCGCUGCAUUAGCUAGUUGGUAAGGUAACGGCUUACCAAGGCAACGAUGCAUAGCCGACCUGAGAGGGUGAUCGGCCACACUGGAACUGAGACACGGUCCAGACUCCUACGGGAGGCAGCAGUAGGGAAUCUUCCGCAAUGGGCGAAAGCCUGACGGAGCAACGCCGCGUGAGUGAUGAGGGUCUUCGGAUCGUAAAACUCUGUUAUUAGGGAAGAACAUAUGUGUAAGUAACUGUGCACAUCUUGACGGUACCUAAUCAGAAAGCCACGGCUAACUACGUGCCAGCAGCCGCGGUAAUACGUAGGUGGCAAGCGUUAUCCGGAAUUAUUGGGCGUAAAGCGCGCGUAGGCGGUUUUUUAAGUCUGAUGUGAAAGCCCACGGCUCAACCGUGGAGGGUCAUUGGAAACUGGAAAACUUGAGUGCAGAAGAGGAAAGUGGAAUUCCAUGUGUAGCGGUGAAAUGCGCAGAGAUAUGGAGGAACACCAGUGGCGAAGGCGACUUUCUGGUCUGUAACUGACGCUGAUGUGCGAAAGCGUGGGGAUCAAACAGGAUUAGAUACCCUGGUAGUCCACGCCGUAAACGAUGAGUGCUAAGUGUUAGGGGGUUUCCGCCCCUUAGUGCUGCAGCUAACGCAUUAAGCACUCCGCCUGGGGAGUACGACCGCAAGGUUGAAACUCAAAGGAAUUGACGGGGACCCGCACAAGCGGUGGAGCAUGUGGUUUAAUUCGAAGCAACGCGAAGAACCUUACCAAAUCUUGACAUCCUUUGACAACUCUAGAGAUAGAGCCUUCCCCUUCGGGGGACAAAGUGACAGGUGGUGCAUGGUUGUCGUCAGCUCGUGUCGUGAGAUGUUGGGUUAAGUCCCGCAACGAGCGCAACCCUUAAGCUUAGUUGCCAUCAUUAAGUUGGGCACUCUAAGUUGACUGCCGGUGACAAACCGGAGGAAGGUGGGGAUGACGUCAAAUCAUCAUGCCCCUUAUGAUUUGGGCUACACACGUGCUACAAUGGACAAUACAAAGGGCAGCGAAACCGCGAGGUCAAGCAAAUCCCAUAAAGUUGUUCUCAGUUCGGAUUGUAGUCUGCAACUCGACUACAUGAAGCUGGAAUCGCUAGUAAUCGUAGAUCAGCAUGCUACGGUGAAUACGUUCCCGGGUCU
Molecule: ribosomal RNA, 1372 nt
Filed under: uncultured bacterium
Lineage: Bacteria
Description: bacterial SSU rRNA
Rfam family: Bacterial small subunit ribosomal RNA
Source: RNAcentral